AAGGGAAUCGGGCUCUGGAU
This 20-nucleotide unclassified non-coding RNA is filed under the name Mus musculus (house mouse). RNAcentral's name for it is "oocyte_clustered_small_RNA13524". Lineage: Eukaryota; Metazoa; Chordata; Mammalia; Rodentia; Muridae. The record is from RNAcentral.